This 506-nucleotide ribosomal RNA is filed under the name uncultured bacterium. RNAcentral's name for it is "bacterial SSU rRNA". It matches the Rfam family "Bacterial small subunit ribosomal RNA", at positions 8 to 526 of the family's 1533-position model. The record is from RNAcentral.
AGAGUUUGAUCAUGGCUCAGGACGAACGCUGGCGGCGUGCUUAACACAUGCAAGUCGAACGCGCUUUGCUCCUUCGGGAGUAAAGCGAGUGGCGAACGGGUGAGUAACACGUGAGCAACCUGCCCUUGACCCUGGAAUAACAGCUGGAAACAGCUGCUAAUACCGGAUACGACCUUCGAUGGCAUCAUCUGGAGGUGGAAAGCUCCGACGGUCAAGGAUGGGCUCGCGGCCUAUCAGCUUGUUGGUGAGGUAACGGCUCACCAAGGCUUCGACGGGUAGCCGGCCUGAGAGGGCGACCGGCCACACUGGGACUGAGAUACGGCCCAGACUCCUACGGGAGGCAGCAGUGGGGAAUAUUGCACAAUGGGCGCAAGCCUGAUGCAGCAACGCCGCGUGCGGGAUGACGGCCUUCGGGUUGUAAACCGCUUUCAGUAGGGACGAAGGUAACCUGACGGUACCUACAGAAGAAGGACCGGCCAACUACGUGCCAGCAGCGGCGGUAAUAC